Gossypium hirsutum (cotton) is the source of this 144-nucleotide non-coding RNA. NCBI's taxonomy places the organism in Eukaryota, Viridiplantae, Streptophyta, Magnoliopsida, Malvales, Malvaceae. The record is from Rfam.
UAUUAAAAUUUCAUCUAUUUUUAUUAUUAAAAACUGACGUGAUCAACAAAAUAGCCAUAUAGUUACAUGUGGCGUGUCAUGUAUACCUCAUUUUGACAUACAAAAACCGGUUUUUAACUGUAAAAAUGAAUGAAAAUUUUAACA